This 477-nucleotide ribosomal RNA is filed under the name Candidatus Scalindua brodae. RNAcentral's name for it is "bacterial SSU rRNA". It matches the Rfam family "Bacterial small subunit ribosomal RNA", at positions 365 to 832 of the family's 1533-position model. Lineage: Bacteria; Pseudomonadati; Planctomycetota; Candidatus Brocadiia; Candidatus Brocadiales; Candidatus Scalinduaceae. RNAcentral also lists the same sequence under 1 other name. The record is from RNAcentral.
UUCGCAAUGCCCGAAAGGGUGACGAAGCGACGCCGCGUGGGUGAGGAAGGCCUUCGGGUUGUAAAGCCCUGUCAGGAGUUAAGAAAUGUAAGUGCGCUAAUAUCGCAUUUAUUUGACGAAGGCUCCAAAGGAAGCCACGGCUAACUCUGUGCCAGCAGCCGCGGUAAUACAGAGGUGGCAAGCGUUGUUCGGAAUUAUUGGGCGUAAAGAGCACGUAGGUGGGUUUGUAAGUCAGAUGUGAAAGCCUUCUGUUCAACGGAAGAAUUGCAUCUGAAACUGCGAGUCUUGAGUGUAGGAGGGGAGAAUGGAACUUCUGGUGGAGCGGUGAAAUGCGUAGAUAUCAGAAGGAACGCCGGCGGCGAAAGCGAUUCUCUGGCCUAUUACUGACACUCAGUGUGCGAAAGCUAGGGGAGCAAACGGGAUUAGAUACCCCGGUAGUCCUAGCCGUAAACGAUGGGCACUAAGUAGAGGGGUUUU